GGCGUGGUAGCUCAGCUGGUUAGAGCGCACGACUCAUAAUCGUGAGGUCGAGAGUUCAAGUCUCUCCCACGCCACCC
Molecule: transfer RNA, 77 nt
Filed under: Bacteroidota bacterium
Lineage: Bacteria; Pseudomonadati; Bacteroidota
Description: Bacteroidetes bacterium (marine metagenome) tRNA-Met
Rfam family: tRNA
About the family: Transfer RNA (tRNA) molecules are approximately 80 nucleotides in length. Their secondary structure includes four short double-helical elements and three loops (D, anti-codon, and T loops).
Source: RNAcentral